GUCCACGCCGUAAACGAUGUCUACUAGCCGUUGGGAUCCUUGAGGUCUCGGUGGCGCAGCUAACGCGAUAAGUAGACCGCCUGGGGUAGUACGGCCGCAAGGUUAAAACUCAAAUGAAUUGACGGGGGCCCCGCACAAGCGGUGGAGCAUGUGGUUUAAUUCGAUGCAACGCGAAGAACCUUACCAGGUCUUGACAUCCAGAGAACUUUCCAGAGAUGGAUUGGUGCCUUCGGGAACUCUGAGACAGGUGCUGCAUGGCUGUCGU
Molecule: ribosomal RNA, 265 nt
Filed under: uncultured bacterium
Lineage: Bacteria
Description: partial 16S ribosomal RNA
Rfam family: Bacterial small subunit ribosomal RNA
Source: RNAcentral